UUGAGCCUUAAUUAAAUCUAACGCGAAAAUCAAAGGGAGAAAGAUCGUGAAAGAGCUCAAGCUCGCAAUUCUAGCAAAAGGAAGACGUCUAAAACCGACGGUUUAACACCUGAGCAGCGUCGAGAAAGGGAUGCAAAAGCGUUGCAAGAGAAAUUAGCGAA
Chenopodium quinoa (quinoa) is the source of this 161-nucleotide long non-coding RNA. RefSeq lists it as uncharacterized. NCBI's taxonomy places the organism in Eukaryota, Viridiplantae, Streptophyta, Magnoliopsida, Caryophyllales, Amaranthaceae. The record is from RefSeq and is a predicted model, not a curated record. The transcript is spliced from 2 exons.